This 253-nucleotide ribosomal RNA is filed under the name uncultured bacterium. RNAcentral describes it as "partial 16S ribosomal RNA". It matches the Rfam family "Bacterial small subunit ribosomal RNA", at positions 524 to 776 of the family's 1533-position model. The record is from RNAcentral.
GACGUAGGAGGCGAGCGUUGUCCGGAUUCAUUGGGCGUAAAGAGCACGCAGGCGGUCGUUCAAGUCGCGUGUGAAAGCCCCCGGCUCAACUGGGGAGGGUCACGCGAUACUGAUCGACUCGAAGGCAGGAGAGGGUAGUGGAAUUCCCGGUGUAGUGGUGAAAUGCGUAGAUAUCGGGAGGAACACCAGUGGCGAAGGCGACUUCCUGGCCUGUUCUUGACGCUGAGGCGCGAAAGCUAGGGGAGCAAACGGG